UACGUAGGGGGCGAGCGUUGUCCGGAUUUAUUGGGCGUAAAGAGCUCGUAGGCGGUUUGGUAAGUCGGGUGUGAAAACCCCAGGCUCAACCUGGGGACGCCACCUGAUACUGCUAUGACUUGAGUCUGGUAGGGGACCACGGAAUUCCUGGUGUAGCGGUGAAAUGCGUAGAUAUCUGGAGGAACACCGGUGGCGAAGGCGGCAUUCUGGACUGCAACUGACACUGAAAGACGAAAGCCAGGGGAGCAAACGGG
Molecule: ribosomal RNA, 254 nt
Filed under: uncultured bacterium
Lineage: Bacteria
Description: partial 16S ribosomal RNA
Rfam family: Bacterial small subunit ribosomal RNA
Source: RNAcentral